UUGUCUGUCGGAGGAGUAAGCCUUUCAAGCUGUGACAGAUUGCCGACGAAGUAACCGGCGAAGCAGUUAGCAGAGACGUAAGUGAAGGGUAUGUUAGCUUCUUCUAUUGCUUUCCUCACUAUCAUUUUCUGAUCAAAUGUCUCUCUUCCUGGUUCUAACGCGUCUCCCAUCAGGGCUGGAUCCAUACCAAAUUCUGAUGGCAAGAAACGCUACAACCAAUUUCUGUGUUCAGUCAUUUUCAAAGCAUAUAAUACCCGACAAACAGAAUUGAUUUAAUUUGAAAUAGAAAAAUAAUUAACCGAUGAUAAGAGUUUUAAGUUUGUACAUGGCACGACGAGACAAUUAAUUCUAUUUUUCCACAAGCAUCAUAAAGAAAG
This 377-nucleotide long non-coding RNA is filed under the name Ricinus communis (castor bean). RNAcentral's name for it is "long non-coding RNA (RCOM_LNC001161)". Lineage: Eukaryota; Viridiplantae; Streptophyta; Magnoliopsida; Malpighiales; Euphorbiaceae. The record is from RNAcentral.